This 332-nucleotide long non-coding RNA is filed under the name Vitis vinifera (wine grape). Its description in RNAcentral is "long non-coding RNA (VVIN_LNC000964)". The record is from RNAcentral. Lineage: Eukaryota; Viridiplantae; Streptophyta; Magnoliopsida; Vitales; Vitaceae.
AAGAAACGCCGCUAUCAAGGAAAAGCUCAACAGCGUGAAGGACACUUCCGGCGAAGUGAAGCAGCUGGAGGAGCAGGCUGCGGCUGUGAUGAAGGCGGUGAGGGCGGAGAUAUCGGCGGCCCUCAACCAGAUGAAGAAGGAGACGGCGGCGGAAGUAGAGAUGAAGCUGGCGGAGGGGAGGAAGAAGGUGGAAGCGGAGCUGCAAGAGGCUUUGGCCGUUUUGGAGAAGCAGAAGGAGGACACCAUCAAGGCUCUUGAUUCUCAGAUCGCUGCUCUGAGUCAGCAAAUUGUGAACAAGGUCCUUCCCCUCUGAUCUUUUUUUUUUUUUUUUC